RNAcentral lists this ribosomal RNA (253 nucleotides) under uncultured bacterium. RNAcentral describes it as "partial 16S ribosomal RNA". It matches the Rfam family "Bacterial small subunit ribosomal RNA", at positions 524 to 776 of the family's 1533-position model. The record is from RNAcentral.
UACGUAGGGUGCGAGCGUUAAUCGGAAUUACUGGGCGUAAAGCGUGCGCAGGCGGUUUUGUAAGACAGAUGUGAAAUCCCCGGGCUCAACCUGGGAACUGCAUUUGUGACUGCAAGGCUAGAGUACGGUAGAGGGGGAUGGAAUUCCGCGUGUAGCAGUGAAAUGCGUAGAUAUGCGGAGGAACACCGAUGGCGAAGGCAAUCCCCUGGACCUGUACUGACGCUCAUGCACGAAAGCGUGGGGAGCAAACAGG